This is a long non-coding RNA of Brienomyrus brachyistius, 5847 nucleotides long. RefSeq lists it as uncharacterized. The transcript is spliced from 6 exons. Lineage: Eukaryota; Metazoa; Chordata; Actinopteri; Osteoglossiformes; Mormyridae. The record is from RefSeq and is a predicted model, not a curated record.
CGUAACAAUAUCGUAAAAUACAGUAUAACAGCCAUAAUGUCAUGACCUGCUCGUCUGAAACCUCUUGUGGCCACGCCCCCCUCGUUGACCUCAUGUGGAUUCCCCAUGUUUGCCAGCUGUUUCGAAUUGUCUUCAUUAGUUCUGUGUAUUUAAGUCCACGUCACAGUAUGUUUUCCCUAGUUCCGUUAUUGUAUUGUUAUGCCUGUUUGUUCCUUAUGCCCCAUUCGUGUGCCUGUUAAAUCCCUUUAUUUUCCCCCGGUCCUUAUCUCCUUCACCUGCUUCCCUGGUCCCAUCCCAUAAUACGUCUGUUCUCAAAAACCUCCAGAAGAAAAAAUACAGUAUUGCAGCACAUUGAUGUAGUGGCGGUUUAAUUAGACAGUACAUAAAUGACACAAUCAAGCGACCGGGAGCAAACACAUUAAAAAGAGAAGAAAAAUGAAAAGUGCAAAGCAAAAAAAAUAUACAUAAGAAGUCAGUAACUACAUGCCCUGGCAGAGGGUUCAGUGUAAGCCAAGCAACCGAAAACCAGCUUUCUUUGCAGACGAUACAAACUGGAACCAGCUGACAAUAACAUUGCAGUAUGAACUCUGAUGAUGCAGUAGCUGGGUGUUUCAGGGGUGAGCGGUCCGUGUUUUCCUAUGUGGGUAGAUUCAGCUGUAUCGUUCUAUCGAUCGAUCGCCAUGUCAUUACCUGCCCCGCCCUGCCCAGCAGAAUUUAUACAUUAAAGCCAAAAGGAUUCCAGAAGAAGCUGCAAUAGUAAUCCACAAUAUCGGGCUUCUGCCUGGAUGUCCUGUUAGGUGAGCAGACCCACAGGAGAUGGGGACUGGAACGUGCAGAGGGUUUGUGUUUCGUCUUGAGAUCUCAUGAGACAAGUUUCACUUUCUAAUUGUUACACGUUAUGCUGCUACUGGUGUUUUUUGUUAACAGCUUCAGUGUAGCAGAGUUUGCAAAAAAUAUGAAACCAAAAUAGAUGAUAAAUUCUGUGCAAAACAGUUGGCAGGAUGAGGAGGGCAUUGCAUAUUAAUAUCUUGGCUGCUGCAUGUCAAGCCAGUCCCUCCGGGGCACCCAUUGGUCACCUGACCUCAGGCUGAGUGUCACAUGGUGAUCACAUGUGGGAGAUGUUAUUUGAUGCAAUGCUAAAUAAUAUACCAUGUUACUCCAAUGUGAUACUGCAUGGUUUGAUGGGCCCACAAACUACCAGCUGGCUCCAGCAUGAAUGCCGAUGACAUGGAUGAAGAGAUCAUGAGAGCCGUUUGAUGAAGGACAUCUGACAGGAAACAGUGACAGCAGGUCAGGCUGUAAGACACUGGGUACGGAGGUACAGCUUUGGGAAAGAGACUCUGAUGAAGGAAAUCAAAUGCUGGAUGUGGAACAUGGGGAUUAUGGUCACGCGUCUCUAAAAUGGAGCCUGAUUAUUCGCACUGCUGUAAGAUUGACCACCUGAGAAGCAGAACAGGGUGUGAGUAUGAAUUCAAUAACCAGCAAACAAAAUACUGAUUGAUUAAUUAAAAUCCUAGAUAUUCUAUUAAAACAGGAAUAAAAACCACUUUGAUUCCUCAAACAACAUAUAAAUAUUUAGGAAAACCUAUUUACUUAAAAUCUGCGUACCAUUAUUAGCCUGCUGGCCCAUUGAAAUGAGUGGAUCACUGGAAUUUGGAAGUCGGUCAGCUUCCUUCCCUUUCUGCUUCUCGUGUUUAUAGAUGCAGAUUGAAACUAAAAGAAGGAAUCCAAUAACAACUCCCAUAACAAUCCAGAAUUUUCUUCUUGGAUGAGCUGUGGAAGGAGAUCAGGAUUAAAGGAGACGGCACAUGCCAAGUCAUCCAGCACAGACCACAGUAUAAAUGUCGAUGGCUGACUGUGACCUGAGUCUGGUGCAGAAGGACAAAAGUGCUAGAGGUGAAUCUAGGAGGAAACAUGUCAUUUCAUACCUCAGAGCGAAAUACUGAGAAAUAAGAGCAUAAGUGGGGCUUAAAAAGCUGGUUGGAAAGAAGAUAAACAUCCGGAAGAGAAAAACUGGGUCACAGUGAAGAUCGUGAAUAAAACACACAACGGUGAUCAGUCACCUACAGCGAGCAGCUGGACCCCAAACACCAACACGACAGACACACGUCUCUGGAUUCAGGGAGGAAACGGGAUUCACAUGCAGACUUCAAAGAUGUGAGACCAAAAGGUGAAAAAACAUCAACACAACAAUAGUGCAAACGACUGUCUGUAAAAAGUGAAAAUAGACAGAGUUUACAGGUGAAGAUAGGACAGUUAUCACAUUUGGAUGAGCAUCUGCCUGGAUGUCCUGUUAGGUGAGCAGACCCGCAGGAGAUGGGGACUGGAACGUGCAGAGGGUUUGUGUUUCGUCUUGAGAUCUCAUGAGACAAGUUUCACUUUCUAAUUGUUACACGUUAUGCUGCUACUGGUGUUUUUUGUUAACAGCUUCAGUGUAGCAGAGUUUGCCCCUUAACACCAGUGUAAUAUUGAGCUAUUGAUACAUUUCUAGUUACAAAGAGCUAUCAUUAAGGAUCAGCAUCAUUAAGGAUCAGCAUCAUUAUGGAUCAGCAUCAUUAUGGAUCAGCAUCUUUGGGUUAAAAAAUACAGGUCCAGCUCUGCCUCACAGCUGUGCUCUGCUCCAUCAUCAGCUCUGCUGGGGGUUAUCAGGAGGGUGGAGGACACAUUCACAGUGAGGUUCUGAACAGGAGCGAUGUUCUGGAUCUCACACUUCAGCUGGUACCGACUCCCCUCCACCAUGGGGUCAGUCGAGUUCAUAGACCUGACAGAAACACUGUCUGGGGGAUCUGUGAGGGAAAAUGAGGAGCAUUAUUUCUCAAAGGACGCUGCACCAACGGCAUAUUAAAAGUUGAAACUCACCGACUUGGAGGACCAAGACCAGCCAGGAGACCAACACCAGGCUGGAUGUCAUCUCAGGUCUCUGUACCAAGGAUGGAGACUGGCUGGUGGUUCUGUUCUGACCCGGUUUGGGCUUGUUUUCUAGAUCAAGCAAACAUGAUCUUAUUCUCAGUACAGCAGCAGAUGUAAGAAAUGAAGAAAACCACUGUGACCAAGACUGCAGGAUGUGACGCAGAAAAGCCAAAUGUUAUCAGUGAGGUACAGAAGUCAUAAGGGUUUUGUCCGCAGGCCUUUGUUGUGGCUUAUGGCACAUGAGGGAUUCAUUUCAGUGUAGAGGGUCACUGGAGCCCCCCAUGAUGCUGGCUGUGCCCCUUGGGUGGUCUUCACUGCCUUUUGCAGUGCUCUGAAGUGGCAAGCUGAGCAGUUUCUACACCGUGAUACAUUUUGCCAAGUAAAAGAUGGAUUCUGUGAUGCAUGUUUAGAAGAAGGUGGGGACUGCUGGCAUCAUCUGGACCUUGCCCAUGAGUCUGAGGAUAUAAAUCCUCAUCCUCCUGUCUUCCCAUUCCCCUAUUGGCUUGACAGAAUGACCAGACACCAAUUGGCUGUCUUCACAUUCCUCCAAGGAUCUACUCAUGGACGUUUUCUCUCAUCCCUGCAUCUGAAUACCCCACCGCUCCAACCCAGAAACUGUUGGCGUCAGUGCGCUUUGCCUCUCUGAAGAUCCCAUCGUACAGGCGUUUACUGAGGCUGUUGCCUUGCUUCUCCAUGCUGGGCAGGAGUUGGUUACAGUCUCCCCGACUUCAGAUCCCCAGGAGGUGGAAAGGAUCCUGGAGAAACUGAUACAGGUACAACACCUCCGGAGGGGAGCAGUCGAACCUUGCUCUCUUCACAUGAAAAAAUAUGCUGCAGAGGUAAGGGGUAAUUUGAAACAUAUGGGCAUGAUCUAAUGCAUGGAUCUGAAAUGAAAGUUUGUGCAUGUAACCUGCAUUGUGCGGGCAAACACAAUAUCACACCGUAUUUAAAGUCGGAACCUCAGGCAUGAGAGGAGAGCAAGGAGGUUAAAAUCCAUGGGUGCGAGUGUCUGUCGCUAGCAUGUCUCAUAAGGUGUCAGGGAAUGAAGUUUACUCACUGCACACCACUGUGCCUGCUGGCUGCCAUUACUUGGAAUAGUAAAUUUGGUGGCAUUUCAAGUAGCUAUGACACUUAACACUCAUUAACUGAUAAUCUAGUGUGAAGUAAUCACACAAAGUAAAUGUGACUUCAUGAUUAAUUCAUGGUGAGCAAAAGGAAUUCACGAUGCAUCUUGUAUUAAUUCAUCCAUUAAAUAAUCAUGAAUCCUGAAGUAGUUAAGCAUGACUUAAGUAUAAGAUUUGUGCCCUUUCAGACUGUUACCAGUGAAGUUCACAGAACUGACAGAAACACUGUCUGGGGGUUCUGUUAGGAAAAAUGAGAAGCAUUAUUUCUGAAAAAUAACUUGCACUUACAUGUAAAUGUACUAUAAAAUAAUUGAAUUACAUGAUUUGAUGCAGAAUUUACAACCUUUUGUAUUAAAUGAUACAAUAUCUGACGUGGCUUGUGCCUCCGACGCUGAAGUACUUUUGCCCCCAUAAACAGGAAGUUCUGCUACUUUGUACAUCAAAAGAAAGCGAAAGGCAGGAAAUCAGCAUUGCUUUGCAAAGAAAGUGAAACCGAAACGGCUGCAAACACCAGGAAAUAUAUUCUGGCUUUUGUUUGUGUGUUUUAAGGGGGAUGUGGAAGUUUAAUUCUGAAUUAUUGCGUGAUGGCUGACGUCAGGGAGAAACGUAAACUUGAAAAACCACAAGCGAGCAAACAAACAGCAUCACGUCAAUCAAAGCGUUUCACUUGCUGUUGCCAAAAAGAUACACUGCUGUUGGUAGGAUGGGGGGGGGAGCCACUGAAUAUCAAUAUCCUGGCAGGUCAGGCUGUAAAAGACUGCUGUGGGAUACAGCUAGGGGAAGGAGACCCUGAUGAAGGCAAGACAAAUGCAGAAUUUGCCAGAUGGGGAUCGUGGUCAUGCAUCUCUAAAAUGGAGCCACAUUCUUCACACUGCAGUGUGAGUAUGAACUGAUGUGGAUCACAAACUUUAUCAGUGACCAUAAAUGAUCUGCUGGCCCUUAGGAAUGAGUUGAUCUCUAGAACUGGCAGGCUGACCUGCCUCCUCUUCAGCCUCCAGUGUACAUUGAUACCAGCCAGAACUGCAACCAGAAUGAAUGUGACAAUUUCUUGUAUAGAAAUUCUGCAGGAUCUGUGGAAGGUCAGGGUUAAUUUAUGCAUGCACAGGGGUACUGCAUGGACAAGCAAGAGAGACCUGCAAUGUUUUCCAUGGGAAUUAUUGUGGAAUUCAUAUGCGCCGCUGUAUGUACAGCUGACAAACACACACAAACUAAAUAUACCAAUAAAAAAGAGAUAUAUUGAGACAUUUGAAUUUAACAACACUUUAUUGAACACAAAUUUAUUUACUUGCUAACAUUAUAGACCACAAACACAUGGCGUGAGGCACGAGGCAACUUAACUUGGGGAAUCUGCAGCGAUGUGCUGGUCCAAGCCGAAAAUGUGCUGGAAUCCCUGUAUUGCCCCUGUAGCCGACAGCACACCUACCGCCCGCGGACCUACAUAAAACGCACUUCCAGUUCCUGGCGCUCCACCGCUAUUAUUACAUCUAAUUAUACAACAGUGCCAUCUAUUGGUAAAACAGCGCUACUGUAUCUUGAGGAAAGAUGAAAAGACAUUUGAGAGCCAGGAGGAGAAUUAAAAUGUUUGGUACCGGUCAUUUUGAGUAAGAACAUCUACUGCAAAUAAAAUCAUCUGGAUGGGGCUUGCGUGGGUUUCUGCUGGGUACAAAGACACGUGGGCAAUAUCCUUAUUACUAUACAGCCCUUCUAUAGAGAGGCUCGUGUAAGAGACACUGAUAUAAAAAGUUUUUUAAAUCUGUGAUAAAAGAAGGGGAUCUGAAGACGUUCAACAUGCAUGUAUGUACGUGGCUAUUUU